GCAGAGGUAGCUCAGUUGGUAGAGUGGUCGCCUGAAGAGCCUCGCGUCCCAGGUUCAAUUCCUGGUCUCUGCGCCA
Molecule: transfer RNA, 76 nt
Filed under: Caudoviricetes sp.
Lineage: Duplodnaviria; Heunggongvirae; Uroviricota; Caudoviricetes
Description: tRNA-Phe
Rfam family: tRNA
About the family: Transfer RNA (tRNA) molecules are approximately 80 nucleotides in length.
Source: RNAcentral